Molecule: long non-coding RNA, 1414 nt
Filed under: Macaca mulatta (Rhesus monkey)
Lineage: Eukaryota; Metazoa; Chordata; Mammalia; Primates; Cercopithecidae
Description: lncRNA (ENSMMUG00000058893.1)
Source: RNAcentral
CUUUACCUGCUUUGUUCUGUGUCUUGUCAAAGAGGAUUGCUUUGGGGAGCAGUGUGUCUGUACACUCUGGAUGAACCCCUCUGAAGCAGGAGGUAGGAUGGAAUACUUGUACUUUUGUUUAAAACAUGCCUGGGGCCUAUAUUUACAAUUUUGUUAGGUUCUUUAUUAAAAAUUUAUUUGAAUAAACCAUAAUUAAUUUAUGCCAGAACAAAGCAGCAGAAAUUGUGCUGCUUUUCACAGGUUAUGGCUGAAGGAAUUGAUUCUAACCAGUGAAUCUGUACAUUUGAGUUUUAUUUCCUGGAUCUUUUCUCAGUAAGUCCAAUGGAGUGAUGAGCUUGGGAUGGAGGCUUGAUAGAGAUAUCUUUUAAUAGACUUUUGAUAAAGCACUAAGAAAGUUUAUAAUAAUUUUAAUUGAUAAUGAGGAAGCAGAGGAGCAGAACAGAAGAUAGUUUCUUAGUGUUUAGAGACCUUGAAUUUAUUGUUUCCUUUGCAAAAUCUAUUAGUCACCCCUGACAAGAAGCCUGUAAUUUCAGGUGUUUGCAGUUUCCUGACCCUUCAGAGCUACUCUCUGUGGGCUCUUUAUCUGGCCUGGCUGCUGAGACUGUGGCUGUUUUAUAUUCAUUAUUUGAUUAAAGACUGAACAACUUUAUUAAGGAGGUAUCUCUCUCGCUUUGCAGCCGGGAGGUUCAGAGAGGGCAGUGCGCUGCCCAUGGGCCACAGCUGUAGUCACUGUUGAAGCUGAGAUUGACCCAGAUCUACCCAGCUCCGCAGGACACACCCUUUCCAUUGUAUUAUUCUCACCCCAACCAUCAAAUCAAAGGGUCAGAGUGAACACGGACAGAAGGUUCUUAGGAGCUAGCUGACAGUUUGUGUCAAACAAGAGCCAGCACACUGGACCCAGCUGAUUCUAAGGAGCAGAGUGGAUGGCCCAUUACACUUAGAACCCUUGGCAUCCAAAUUGUCAGCAACUCAUCGGCUAGUGUUUCUUUCUUGAAGGGUGAAGUCUCAAUCCUCAGAUGUUCUAGGAGCUUUUCUCUCCAUUUCAUAGAAGAAAUAGGAAAAGUCACCUUGUUCAUCCACUCAUCUGAUGCUUGGAUCUUUUCCAAAGAAGAACAAACAGAAGGGCUUGAACUGCUCUAGUGAGUGACCUCCUGAGGUCACCCGUUCUGCCUUUGGAUGCCCCUAACUGCUCAGAAGUCUCUCCUCUGUGCGUCUCCUUCGCACUGGCCCUGACUCUGCUCUCUGGAACUACACAGAAUAGUGCCAACUGCUCCCAAAAAUGACACAGUCAUAGGUCACUCGAGGGCUUUUUUUUUUUCUUAGGUUAAACUUCCACAUCCUAUCAUUCCUCACAUGGCAAGGUUCAAAAUCCCCUUCACUCUUCUGGUCACUUUCUUCUGAGCAUAUUUCUCGU